ACGACUCUCGGCAACGGAUAUCUCGGCUCACGCAUCGAUGAAGAACGUAGCAAAAUGCGAUACUUGGUGUGAAUUGCAGAAUCCCGUGAACCAUCGAGUUUUUGAACGCAAGUUGCGCCCAAAGCCAUUUGGUUGAGGGCACGUCUGCAUGGGCGUCACGC
RNAcentral lists this ribosomal RNA (161 nucleotides) under Nestlera biennis. RNAcentral describes it as "5.8S ribosomal RNA". It matches the Rfam family "5.8S ribosomal RNA". From Rfam's summary of the family: 5.8S ribosomal RNA (5.8S rRNA) is a component of the large subunit of the eukaryotic ribosome. It is transcribed by RNA polymerase I as part of the 45S precursor that also contains 18S and 28S rRNA. Lineage: Eukaryota; Viridiplantae; Streptophyta; Magnoliopsida; Asterales; Asteraceae. The record is from RNAcentral.